GUUGAACGCUGGCGGCGGGCCUAACACAUGCAGGUCGAGCGACUGACUGGAACUUGCUUCUUGUGUCAUUGGCGGACGGGGGGGUAAUACCUAGGGAUCUACCUAGUUGUGAGGGAUGACGUACGGAGGCAGACCCUAAUACCGCAUACAUACUGAUUUAGACCGUGGGGGUUCUUCGGACCUCGCGCUAUCACAUGCACCUAUGUCGGAUUAGCUAGUUGGUGGGGUAAAGGCUUACCAAGGCGACGAUCCGUAACUGGUCUGAGAGGAUGAUCAGUCACACUGGAACUGAGACACGGUCCAGACUCCUACGGGAGGCAGCAGUGGGGAAUAUUGGACAAUGGGCGAAAGCCUGACGGAGCCACGCCGCGUGUGUGAAGAAGGUCUUCGGAUCGUAAAACUCUGUUAGUUGGGAGGAACAGAAGUAUGUUAAUACGUGGAUGUUUUGACGUUACCUACACAAAAAGCAACGGCUAACUUCGUG
Molecule: ribosomal RNA, 484 nt
Filed under: uncultured bacterium
Lineage: Bacteria
Description: partial 16S ribosomal RNA
Rfam family: Bacterial small subunit ribosomal RNA
Source: RNAcentral